AUUGACGGGAAAACUCUAACUUAUGCCUUGGAGGAUGAUAUGAAGUAUCAAUUCUUGGCUUUGGCAGUGGAUUGUGCAUCAGUCAUUUGCUGUCGAGUGUCUCCC
Molecule: small RNA, 105 nt
Filed under: Arabidopsis thaliana (thale cress)
Lineage: Eukaryota; Viridiplantae; Streptophyta; Magnoliopsida; Brassicales; Brassicaceae
Description: ATSL071440
Source: RNAcentral